AUUGAACGCUGGCGGCAUGCCUUACACAUGCCAGUCGAACGGCAGCACGGGUGCUUGCACCUGGUGGCGAGUGGCGUACGGGUGAGUAAUACAUCGGAACAUGUCCUGUAGUGGGGGAUAGCCCGGCGAAAGCCGGAUUAAUACCGCAUACGAUCUACGGAUGAAAGCGGGGGACCUUCGGGCCUCGCGCUAUAGGGUUGGCCGAUUGCUGAUUAGCUAGUUGGUGGGGUAAAGGCCUACCAAGGCGACGAUCAGUAGCUGGUCUGAGAGGACGACCAGCCACACGGGGACUGAGACACGGCCCAGACUCCUACGGGAGGCAGCAGUGGGGAAUUUUGGGCAAUGGGCGAAAGCCUGAUCCAGCAAUGCCGCGUGUGUGAAGAAGGCCUUCGGGUUGUAAAGCACUUUUGUCCGGAAAGAAAUCCUUGGCCCUAAUACGGUCGGGGGAUGACGGUACCGGAAGAAUAAGCACCGGCUAACUACGUG
This 486-nucleotide ribosomal RNA is filed under the name uncultured bacterium. Its description in RNAcentral is "partial 16S ribosomal RNA". It matches the Rfam family "Bacterial small subunit ribosomal RNA", at positions 30 to 507 of the family's 1533-position model. The record is from RNAcentral.